This 951-nucleotide ribosomal RNA is filed under the name Microbacterium azadirachtae. RNAcentral describes it as "bacterial SSU rRNA". It matches the Rfam family "Bacterial small subunit ribosomal RNA", at positions 281 to 1240 of the family's 1533-position model. The record is from RNAcentral. Lineage: Bacteria; Bacillati; Actinomycetota; Actinomycetes; Micrococcales; Microbacteriaceae.
GGGUAGCCGGCCUGAGAGGGUGACCGGCCACACUGGGACUGAGACACGGCCCAGACUCCUACGGGAGGCAGCAGUGGGGAAUAUUGCACAAUGGGCGGAAGCCUGAUGCAGCAACGCCGCGUGAGGGAUGACGGCCUUCGGGUUGUAAACCUCUUUUAGCAGGGAAGAAGCGAGAGUGACGGUACCUGCAGAAAAAGCACCGGCUAACUACGUGCCAGCAGCCGCGGUAAUACGUAGGGUGCAAGCGUUAUCCGGAAUUAUUGGGCGUAAAGAGCUCGUAGGCGGUUUGUCGCGUCUGCUGUGAAAUCCCGAGGCUCAACCUCGGGCCUGCAGUGGGUACGGGCAGACUAGAGUGCGGUAGGGGAGAUUGGAAUUCCUGGUGUAGCGGUGGAAUGCGCAGAUAUCAGGAGGAACACCGAUGGCGAAGGCAGAUCUCUGGGCCGUAACUGACGCUGAGGAGCGAAAGGGUGGGGAGCAAACAGGCUUAGAUACCCUGGUAGUCCACCCCGUAAACGUUGGGAACUAGUUGUGGGGUCCUUUCCACGGAUUCCGUGACGCAGCUAACGCAUUAAGUUCCCCGCCUGGGGAGUACGGCCGCAAGGCUAAAACUCAAAGGAAUUGACGGGGACCCGCACAAGCGGCGGAGCAUGCGGAUUAAUUCGAUGCAACGCGAAGAACCUUACCAAGGCUUGACAUACACGAGAACGGGCCAGAAAUGGUCAACUCUUUGGACACUCGUGAACAGGUGGGGCAUGGUUGUCGUCAGCUCGUGUCGUGAGAUGUUGGGUUAAGUCCCGCAACGAGCGCAACCCUUGUUCUAUUUUGCCAGCACGUAAUGGUGGGAACUCAUGGGAAAUUGCCGGGGUCAACUGGAGGAAAGGUGGGGAUAAACUCCAAAUCACCAAGCCCCUUAAUGACUGGGACUUCACGCCAGCUACAAUGGGCCGUCAC